UAUUAAAUUUUUUAUCUAUUUAUAUUUUUAAAAAUUGACAUGACUAACAUAAUAAUCAGAUAAUAACACUUAGUAUGUCACAUAUACCUCAAGCUAAUAAAUAAAUAUCAAAUUUUAACAGAAAAAAUAGAUGAAAUUCUUAAUA
Non-coding RNA from Gossypium arboreum, 145 nucleotides. The record is from Rfam. NCBI's taxonomy places the organism in Eukaryota, Viridiplantae, Streptophyta, Magnoliopsida, Malvales, Malvaceae.